GGUAAUACCGGCAGCUCAAGUGGUCGUCGCUUUUAUUGGGCCUAAAACGUCCGUAGCCUGUUUGGUAAAUCUGUGGGUAAAUCAACUCGCUCAACGAGUUGAAUUCUGCAGAGACUGCCAGACUAGGGACCGGGAGAGGUGUGGGGUACUCGAGGGGUAGGGGUAAAAUCCUGUCAUCCUUCGAGGACCACCAGUUGCGAAGGCGCCACACUGGAACGGAUCCGACGGUCAGGGACGAAGCCUAGGGGCACGAACCGGAUUAGAUACCCGGGUAGUCCUAGGUGUAAACGCUGUGAACUUGGUGUCGGGGGUCCGCAAGGGGUCCCCGGUGCCGGAGUGAAGAUGUUAAGUUCACUGCCUGGGGAGUACGGUCGCAAGGCUGAAA
This 385-nucleotide ribosomal RNA is filed under the name uncultured euryarchaeote. Its description in RNAcentral is "bacterial SSU rRNA". It matches the Rfam family "Archaeal small subunit ribosomal RNA", at positions 469 to 854 of the family's 1478-position model. Lineage: Archaea; Methanobacteriati; Methanobacteriota. The record is from RNAcentral.